GGCGGGAUGGCAGAGUGGUUUAAUGCGGCGGUCUUGAAAACCGUUGACGGGGUAACCUGUCCGUAGGUUCGACUCCUACUCCCGCCGCCA
Molecule: transfer RNA, 90 nt
Filed under: bacterium
Lineage: Bacteria
Description: tRNA-Ser
Rfam family: tRNA
About the family: Transfer RNA (tRNA) molecules are approximately 80 nucleotides in length.
Source: RNAcentral